Molecule: long non-coding RNA, 30197 nt
Organism: Sabethes cyaneus
Lineage: Eukaryota; Metazoa; Arthropoda; Insecta; Diptera; Culicidae
Exons: 4
Source: RefSeq, a predicted model, not a curated record
GAAGGUUCAUUCAUUCCAGUCGCAGCUAUGGAGGAAAAUGGUUGACUAAAAGUAGUGUGACAAGCAUUUGAUUGAAAUAAUUGAUUGCAACGGAAAAACAUUGGUUGCAUAAUCGCCGGCGAUGAAGUGAACAGUGUAAUUAUUCGCCAAAACGGUAUUUUCUGGAAUGGCAAGCAACAACUGAACACAGUUUUCGUUGGAAAGAGGGUGUGGAAAUUUUCAUAACCAAAAAAAUGGCUGCCACGACACCUGCUCUCGCCAUAUUCGUUCUGUUUCCUCUGGAUAAUUGCAAGAAUGUCUAAUUGGUACGACUAUCAAAACUUUCCACUCCGAGGAUUUCAAAACCCAUUUUGUGGAGUCAUCGAAAUGUGACACCGUCCAGUCCGCUGCGAAGGAAGGAAGCAAAGAGGGACAAAAGUAAGAAAAUCAAUUGCCGUGCCCUUAUCAAGAGUAUUAUUAUCAGCAGCGACCGAAAUGUGUUAAGGUUUUCCGAAAUGGAAGAUUAAAGACCCCAUGUGUGCUACUCUUCGCACUUGAUUGUGAAAUUGCCAACACCACGCUAGGAAUGUAUUUCAUAAUUGUGGAGUGGCGCCGACACGUCAGCCAAUGCAUUGUUGGGUGAAACGUUUGCAAAACGAAAAACAAACCUUGGAUGUACGGGACCGCUCAACCUAAAUUAAGGUUCAACGAACAAAGAACUUUACUGGAAACGUUUGUGGAACAAAUGCUCAGUCAUUCAAUGUACCUGCACUUUGGAUUGCUGUUUAUGGUGAGAAAUCAACAAACAACAAACAAGUAAAUUUAGUUGUAAGUUAGUUCAUAAGGAGUAAUUCAAGCUAGAAAGCUGUGCUUUCUAGGACGAUUCUGCAGAAAGUUAUAGGUGGAAUGUUUGAUUCGAUUCCAGUUAGCUAGAUCACACUCAAAAGAAAAAGAAAGGGAUAGCUUUAUUGUAUAUUAGGAAAUGGUCACGGUUGUCGAAAUGUAUGGUUGGGUUGUCGAAACGUAUCUUACACCGAUAGGAAAGUAGAUUGCACUCAACAUUAUUUCGAAUUUUCAUAAAUACUCUUGGAGGUGUACACAGUUUACGUAACUCAAGCGAAGUUAGUUGAUACUUUGAUAUAUCAUCAACAGAACAUAGAAUCAAUAUUAUGGAUAUUUUAGAUUGCGAUUUCACGGGACCCCCCUUAGGAUUCUUCGGAACUGCUUUGCUGUAUGCCUUUCUUCGACAAAACUACCCAAUAAUUUGGGUGUUCAAAAUGCUUCUUUCUACCUUGGAAUAUACCGGCUUGCCCGCAAUGCUUCUAAAUGCAUUGCGACGGGUUUACGGUAUAGAUUCGGAUGACCUGUUUUAUCGCUAGGAAAUUUCUUUUGCUCACACUUACGGCACUGAUUAAUUAAAUUUUCUUUUUUUGAAACGUUAUUUACUAACAGUCACGAGACUGAUUAUUUUAUUCUCUUUUUUGUUGGAAUUGUUAUUGCUAUUUAACUUGCAAUUCAUGACUCUGUGGGGGGAAACCGUAUACUGCUAGUAUUGGCAGCAAUAGCACUAAACCGAGUAACAAGUCCAGUUUGUAGUUCGUGUUGCCGUGUAACUCUUCAUGUAACUGUAGCUGGUUUAGUACGUUCACUUGGGCUUCGCCCUCUUGUUUAACUGUUUUUGACAAUGGUAUGGAAAUUAAAUGACCUAAAUAAAGCAACUCUGUUUUUGAAAAAGCUGCAUUUCUGCGGAUUCAAAUUUAAAUCCACCUUACGCAGUUUUUCAAAAACCGCUUUCAGAUCAGAUUUUUAAUUAUGUUCCACCACAGAUUUUCCAAAGAUGAUAAUGUUAUCUAGAUAGACCAGACAUUGAGUCAUAUCCAGUCCCGACAUUGCUAUUGUCAUUAGACGUGAAAAAGCUGAUGAACAAAUUUUUAAUCCCAUGGGUAGCCAUGUCAUUUGAUACUGCCCGGAUGGUGCUGAGAAUGCUGUUAUGAGUCUAUCUUCUGGCCUUAAUUGACACUGAUAGUAUCCCUGUGAGGGAUCUAGAUGUGAAAAAUAUUGUGCACCUGCUAAUGCAUCUAUUAUAUCAUCAAUAUUUGGCAGAGGGAACUUCUCAUCCUCAAUUACCGUAUUAAGCUUUUUUUUUAUCGGCAAUAACCAGUCUCCAUUUCCUACUAUCUCCCGAACUCUUCUUAGGGACCAGCAAAAUGGGACUAUUCUAUGCGUUAAUUUUAUCCUUUGUCGUCCUAGAAAUCCGCCUCUCCACCUCUUCUUUUUGAAUAUGAGGCAAUCUGUAAGGCUUGCAAUAAAUCGGCUGUAUAUCAUUCUUAACCCUCACUAUAGAACUAUAGGCGUAGCCUGAGUAGCGGAAGGAUAUGGGACACCCACGGUGUCACUAUCUAGACGUUCAAUCUCUGUCUUUCUUGUUUAACCAUGCGACAGACAUGACUUGGCGAUCACUGAAACGGAGUCACUGAUUAAGCUACCGCGCUUUAGUUUCUAUUAUGUCCUUAACGAGGGCCGGCUCACCGAACGUUUCGGUGCGAAUGAAUGGAUUAAACCGGGAACCAUCCGGCAGAGAGACACAUUGCAAUGCUGUCUGCCCGUUAGAAUCCCACUAACCUCAUUUACACCAUCUUUUAGCAAGAAUUAGGGUCACAUAAAACGUACGAACUAACUUCCGGUUUUAACACUUAACGGUGGUUAGCGUCGGUCUGACAGUUAAUGGCUUCUCUUAGUUGUUCUUGUUGGUGAAGUAGGUUCCUCACAUCGGCUUCCUUGCGUAAAACCUCCUGACAAUCAGCGCACCUAGGGACCAUGAACGCCGUGAUAAAGUGCUCAUGCUGCCGUUGCACUCCGAUGUAUGCUGCAUGAUAUGUUUUGUUACAGUACUCGCACUUCCAUGGGAGCCGGUCUUCUCCGCUAUUUUCAGUUUGCCGAGGAGUAAAUUAACUCUGUUCUGAAUAUUUUUCACAGUCACUGUUUUUUACCGAGUCACGCUACGUACGCAAUUUGUAACGUUAUUUAACCGUACAUCACUAUACUUUCGUGAUCCGAACUUUCUAGCUCGAAUGUUACAUGUCGCCAUGAACUAUAUGUGGACAGUUAGGUUCCCAUAUUGUCGGAGUCUUUCGGACUUCGGAACGUAAGAAUGACUGUGACAGCGUGCAAUAAUUAGUUUGGCUAUAGAUGGUCUUAGCCGGAAGGUUCUGCUUCCCUGGCGCAUCCAAAUAAAAAGUGGUUUUGAGUGGCGUCCAGUGAAUUGGCUGUUAGUGACCUACAAUUUAUUAUAAAUUCAAUUUCUGCCAAAAGUUGUCUAAAGACGUGCUCAGGCAUUGUUUCACUGGGCAUUAAAGUCUUUAUUUCGUACACUUGCCUCUCCCAGCAUCCACCUUGAUGCGGAGGGGCUGGAGUAUUAAAAUGCCUUUCAAUUCCUCCCGUAGACAAUCGACGUUGAAGUUUUUUCCAACUCGUUAUCUGCUCCGACAAAAUUAGUUCCGUUAUCGCUAUAAAGGUACUUAAUCCUACCUCGUCUAGCUUGAACUGCAUUAAGGCAUAAUAAAAAUGCAUCUGCACUUAAGUUCUAUAUAAACAGCUCUAGUUGUCAUACACGUAAAUAGAGCUCCCCAUCUUUUCUCCGACCGUCUGUUAACCGAUACGUUAUACAUUUUUUUUAUUCAGUUUUGCACAGUUUUAUUCAAAUUGUCGGGAAUUCUAUCAUCCCAUUCAAAACCAGUGCACCACAAAUCUUGCAUUAUUAACUUUGACUCUAUCGUUAUGGGUUUUCAUUGUUUUGUGCUGUACCGUGCAACUUAUCCUUAAUUUGUGUUUAAAUGUAUCGGCUGGUGUAUUCCAAUACAUGUCCACUAUUUUCUCGAAGUUUUGCUCUUCAUCAAGAGAGUCUUCUUUUAUUGGUGAUACUCUAUCAGCCAGCAAUUUGCUGAGUAGUUCUUUAGAAUUUGAAACAAAACCUCUUAUUUCUCAUCUAAAACUAUUCUUGUCGCAUUAGUUACAUCAUGAAAGCUAUCUACAUAAUGAUUUCUGGUAAUUGCUUCUACUGCAUCAGGACUUUCGCUUAAAAAGUUUUUUUGCGUUUGUGUUCUUCACGAAUUGUGCACAUGCUGGCGUGCAUGUUGCACCAAGCGUCCUUACUUGCAUCUCGUAAACGUUCAAACGAAACUUUUGGAACUUUCCCUAAAUAGGAUUCGUUGGGUUUGCGCAUAUAUCCCUUUUCAACAUAUUCUUUUAUAGUUGGCUAGAGGACGGUCACCUCCUAUCUUGAUGCUCCAUAGUUGGAAUGCACAAUAGGCAAGACUAGGGAACUUCUUCGCUGAUGCUGAUUCUAUCUGGGAAUUAUACCCGAAAUACACAUUGCCCUGGAUUAUCUUGGCAUUGUACGAAUCUCUUAGUGUUGGAUCCUUAUCCAUCUUUCUUUCUUGUAUUGGAAGACGUCCCAAGGCAGCUUCACGUCUUCAUGCUUCCACAACAGGCAAUCUCAUAGCCUCGGUUGGUUUUUGUUAACGUAUUCUCCGUUAUUUUAACCGUCGGGAAAUUCUCUUCGAAAAUGUAUAUUAAUAACGGAUGUAAAUGUAUAUAUGUAUGUUUAUACAUUUCCAAACUGUUGAAAAUAUCGCUUUAUACUUUCUUUUUUAAUAAUAUCUCAUUGUGGCUUUCUGGUAAAACAAAUUUCGUAAGCUUCGAUAAUUUUAGCUUAUGAACCAAAUUCUGUAAGCUAUAAACUCUCUUUGAAGCUUUGUAAAUUCGAUAGAGCCUAUGAAUAGAAUAUGACUCAAUACGAUCGAUGUAUCACUUCUGAGUUAUUAUUAAUUACUUAAGUUAGCUUAACCUAUUUCGCUGUUAGCGUUUUGAUGUCAAAGUUGAUGUUGAUUAGCGUCUGACAUGAGCUGCAACACGGCAAUAGAUAUGACUGGGGAUCGAUUUCUUUUGUCCCUUUUGCGUAAGGAACCACGUUGAAUCGCCGCUCCCCCCACACAGGCGGCAUGGUAGGAUCGUUGACAGCCGGCACAGGUCCACAUUAUCGAAUCCACUGCAGUGUUAGGCAAACAAAUUUCGAGUCUUCGACUCUGUGGCCAUCCCUUUGCCUCAAAAUGCGUAACAACCUCGGCAGGCAUGACAAAAGAAAUCACUAUAAAUUCGCUAAGAUGUAUUAACUAUUCUGCUUGAUCCUACCAGUAAUAAACGCUUGUCUCAAAGGUUAAGCCAUGCAUGUCUAAGUACAAACAGGGAUGCCGCGAUUGCUCGUCGUAACAAUCCCCCAUCCGUAAGGACCGUUGAUGAUCCGCAAUUCCUAAAGAUUCCUCACAGGCUUCACCAUCAGAUCCAACGUCGAGCAAUGCCAGUUUUACUACUGGCCUUUUAUACACACCCGAUGCCGUGCGUACUAGCGCCUAUUCUUCUAUCCACCCUUUCCAAAUCGUGUCCGUAAUGUGUUGCGCAAGAUUUCAACUGCCACGGAGGAUGGUUCGAUGGUCUACCGGGGCCGAUGGCGGCUGUUUUACAGCUGACGAGCUCCCGAGUAAGAAAUGGUUCGGGGUCAACGAUUCCUUAUCAGCUGUUUCAAGCGGCAUGUAAGUUAGGGGUCUAGAGUUGUUCAUCGACUCUGCAUCCGAAAGAAUUGUCGCGCCAGUGUUUCGUCGUUGUGUUUGCGGAAUGAGUCGAUUAUUGUCCCGAUGGCUUGCUUAACCGACCGCACCAGGCGCUCCCAGACACCACCCAUGUGAGGGUGGAAUCUCUUGAAUGUCACCUGAAAUCGCGAAUGGUACUUCUCUAAAGCGCAUCUUGAUUCCUAAGGCUGAUUUAGUCAUGGACCCGAUAACAUUUCCUUUAAGGCUUAUUUGCAAGAUAUUUAAAUUUUAUAAUCAGAGAAAUUACCUUUACUCGUGGUUUCAAUAAAGGUUUGUUUAAAUCUGGGCCAGAGAUUAUUAGACCCGUCAUCGGUUGUUAAGUGCUUUUCAAUAUUCCGUCUAUCUCUUGAAUUUUGUUUAUGAUUUCGUUAAAUGCCUCAACAUGCGUAUUCAUAGCGGCUUUGUCGAGAUUUUCAAUCUGACGAAUCUUCUUGUCCCUGACAGCGAUUACGUUAUACAUAUUUUUGCAUUUAAAACAAAUCCACAAAACAUCCCAGGGGGACUCCUCAAGACUGCGGGAUACGUAAGGUCCAGUUCCGGGCCCUCUAACUAAGAACCUAAGAACGGAUUUCCUGAAAAGUUUCACGUGCGGGAAACCUCUCUUACAGUUCCGCUAUCUGGUGCAUGAUGCACUUUGUUCCAAAUGUUCACGAAACUCUACUCGGUGAUUUCACUUAGCACUUUACACUUUUAAUUUACUGUUACACUGCUGGUUCCUAUUCGGGUGCCAGCUAAGAAUUCUCUUUUGGAGAAAUCCAAAAAAUAUCUUUGGGAGUUACGUUUCGCUUUUAUUGACUAAACUACAAUUCGUUCUUAAACUAAGAGGGAAUUCUUUGUUAACAGUUCUGAUCGUGGGAACAAAGCCGAUUUAUGUUGAUUUUCUACUGAUGCUGUCUUAGCGUAGUGCUGCGGAUGUUAAUGUUGGAUAGGUAUCUGGGCGAUUGUUGACGUUUUCCGACGAUUUAGACAAUUUCCAGCUUGCUGGAAUUAGUUUUUGGUCCUUUUGGGCUGCACAUUGUAAUGCUGUCCACCCAUUCGCGUGUGUAUAAUCUCAUUCACUCAAGUCCACAGCUGACUAUAAGCAUUUGCUAAACAUGCAUUGUCUGGCAAAGAUACCAACCCACUUUGCUGAAUAUAACUUUUACCAAUUACCGCUUUCUGGUGCCGGCACGGCACUGUCAACCUACUUGUUCUUCCGUUAACACCAAAGGACUGUGUUAAUGGUAAGAGCAAAACCCUGCCAACAGGCGAUGAACAAUGCAAACAAAGAUUGGGCUGCGUUGUUUCACUUUGUAAAUUUUGUUUUUUACUUGCUGCACUAAAUUUGUUUUCCUCCGGUGUUUGCCUCUGCAGGUCAAAUAAUAACAACUUUUCUAUCGGACACCUGCCGGGUCGAAUAAUCGGAUCAAUCACUGGUGACCCGCGUCCGCGGUACUUCACAGUGCAAUGCUGUGUUUUUUUUUGAGUCCAUUGAACCUCAUUUAGGUACGUUCUAUUUUAGCAUGAUCGAUAACUAUCCCUCCCAAGUAACAAUUUGGGUUUUAUUACACUCUUAUGAUGGCAUUUAUGGCCAAAAUUGGCCAUGAAAACCACCAUAAGAGUACAAUAAAACUCACAUUGUUGCUUGGGCAAGUUGCGAUCGAGAAUUGACGCCAUUGAAGGGACAGGUGACUUUAAUAAACGUUCAUUUUGAUAUCUGGUUCGUUAAAGACUGUACUUUAUUAAUCAAGACUUGCAUUUCCAGACAAAUCGAUUCUUAAAAGGAACUCUUAAUAUAUUUGGUAGUUUGUCUUUGACCAUUGAAUUUUAAACAUACGUUUAGUUAUUCUCCCUUCAAAUGGCAUUCCAGUGUUGAAGUAUUGUAUUUGGUUUGUUUGUGCGUGUAGCACACCUCCCCUUCUUAAAAGAGUGAUGUAGUGAAAUGAUGUCUUGGGUUUUCACAAUUAAUCGUCUGUAAUUAUUAUUUUGAAUAUGUUGCUGAAUGACUCCCGGAUCAAAUAGAAGUGUCCACUGCGGACGGAAGUUACUGCUUGGUUUAUUGAGUCAAACUUACUGUUUUAUACAUGAAGUUUGCUGACUUGCACCAAUCGAUCGGGGAUAAAUUUCGUGAUCAGGCUAUGUUGAUAAGAGAACUGGGCGUCGAAUAAACGGAUCAGUUUCCGGCGGCCUGUUUUCGCAGUGUUUCACAUUGUAAUGCUGUGCAUCCUUCUGAAUCUACGUAACCUCAUUUACGCUCUAUUUGAGCAGUAUUGAUACCUGCCUCAACUUGCGAACGAGAAAACUCCGGCUCGAAUAAACGGAGCAAUUUCCGGCGUUCCGUGUCCGUAGUGCUUCACGGUGCAAUGCUGUGUUUUCUUUUGAAUCCACGUUAUCUCAUUUACGCUAUAUUUUGGCAAGAUCGACACCUGUCCCAACUUGCGUUGGGUCAACAAUGGCGUUCAUAGUGCUCUGCAUUGUAAUGCUGUGUGUCCAUUUAAGUCCACGUAACUUUUGCUCGUAAUAUAAUUGAUCAAUAAUGUAGUGCUGAGCUGGACCACCUUGGACUAACUUACGGGGCAAAAUGCUCAAGUAUUGUUUCACUGCAUUUCUCACCCGCUCCCAUAUUCCGAUUGAAUGCGGUAAUCUAUUCAACAGAUUAUCAUUAUCGUAAUUGAGUCCGUUAUACUUAUUGUCAACAAUAAGAAUGCGACUGCACCUAAGUUAUGCUUAUGAAGGUAUCGGGUUCAGAGGAUUUAGCGACCGCACAAUUACUAACGCUACAGAACCGAUUGAGUUUGGUGGACCAAAUUUAAUUUCAGCUACUUCUCGGCCUUUCCCGUCUCCUGCUAGUUGCCUUGCUACUAUGAGGGCCUAUGCUUCUGGAGAGGAGAAAUAAGUUUCGCAAUAAUUGCACGUAAUAAAUUAUUCCAGGGCCUGAUCAGGUCUUCUAGCUAGUGUCCUCCCUACUUGGAGGUCUAUGCACCUUGAAGAGAGACUAAAGGAAUUACCUGUAUAAGCCACGCGAGGUUCAUUCGGCCAACUCCAGAGUGAUUAUUAAUUACUUCUACUAACUGGACUUGUUCCGUAGUUUGUGAUUUUAAGACAGUAGUAACAUUUAUAAGAAUUAGACACCGGCAGAAUCCGACAAACAGACCCCGCAGUUCAUGUUCACGAAACCAAACUAAACCGUAAAUCUAUUUCUUUUUCUGUUUUAAAACGACCUCUUUUCCUGUUUCCCGUGGCACGGCUCUAUACUGCUGCACACUGUAGUGCUGUCUGUCCAUUUGAAUCCACCUAACCUCACUUACGUCAUGUCUACGAAGCAGCAUGACCACUCGGUUCAACGUCUUAAGCUAAAUUUUAUGUUCAACCUUACGUUUUAACUAAACUCUGUUACGAUCCAACAUUCUCUAACAUUCUCUUCAGGCAAAUACGCUUGUGAUCGACGUAGUCGAGAAAUUCUGCGCCAGUUUUCGUCGCAAACCAAUCAUGAUGUCCUGUCACGGUCGCCAUGUAAUGAGCUUGUCCUAACAACACUCUCGACUGAGAGCUUUAUAUUUAUUCUUUUCUUUCUCUCAGGUUUUGUUUGAUUUACUGUAUUUUUGGUGAUUUCAAUAACCUGAUAAGAUCUGAUUAAUCUAAUUCUAAUCUAAUCUCGAAUUUCUGAAGCCGUGUAGAAGGAUGUCAUGUCAUCCUUCCGAAUAAAAUUCCGGUUAAGGUUAUAUUGACCAGAGAACUCGGCGUCGAAUAGAAGGAUCAAUUUCUGGUGGUGCAUGUCCGUCGUGCUUCACAAUGCAAUGCUGUCCCUCCAUUUGAGUCCACGUAACCACAUUUACGCUCUAUUUGAGCAAGAUCGUUACUUCCGUUGGGUCGAUCAAGGAAACUCCGGGCCAAAUAAACGGUUCAGUUUUCGGCGGCCCGUGUCCGUCGUGCUUCACAUUGCAACGUUGUGUUUCCAUCUGAAUCCAUGUAACCUCAUUAACACCGUAUUUUUGCAAGAUCAACACCUGUCCCAACUUGCGAUAGGUCGAUCAGGAAAACUGCGAGUCGAACAAACGGAACAGUUUUCGGCGGUCCGUCGUGCUUCACAUUGCAACGCUGUCCCUCUAUUUGAGUCCACGUACUCACAUUUACGUUCUAUUUUUGCAAGAUCGACACCAGCCCCAACUUGCCAUGGGUUAAUGUUGGAUAGGUAUCUGGGCGAUUGUUGACGUUUUCCGACGAUUUAGAGAAUUUCCAGCUUGCUGGAAUUAGUUUUUAGUCCUUUUGGGCUGCACAUUGUAAUGCUGUCCACCCAUUCGCGUGUGUAUAAUCUCAUUUACUCAAAUAUCGUCGAUGGAAAAAGUACAGAGUCCACAGCUGACUAUAAGCAUUAGCUAAACUACUCCCGUAGUUUGUGAUUUUAAGACAGUAGUAACAUUUAUAAGAGCACCGGCAGCCCGGUGUUGUGAUUUUGCCAGCCCGUUUCUGUUCUAUUAGACGAUUUUCUGCUUUCAUUUUGGCUGCCAUCUCCUUCGUAUGGGUUAUAACAGUACCGCGACAGGUCGAUAGGCGCCAACGUUCCUCCUUUUUCGUGCUCAUAUAAUGUUUUAUAUUGUCGUAAAUUUUGAAUUCUAUCACACGACUCUUCGAAGACGGGGACGCCGUUCCUUUGUAUGUAUACGACAUACCGUCCCGAUUGGCAUAAAUAGCGCAAGAUAUUUUGCCAUUGUUCCGUUGAUAAUUCACACAUUCUCUGAAGAUGUCCUCGUCUUCGGAGUCGCUCAUAUCCCUGGUUGAAGGCGCAUCGGCACUGACUUGAGGUGAAUGUACAACUGUGGUAGAUGUGGAGAUGUCCAGACGCUUGGAUUUUACAGGCGGUUCCGAUGUCUCUUCCUCCGAAGCAAUGUCCACAAUCGAUUCCGUCGAUACACGUCUCUUGUUCAGCGUGAAAUCCGAUGAUGAUGGAUUUCCGUCCACUUCGCUCCGACUUUGCGGCUUGAAUAAUUGAAGAAAUUGCCGAAAAGUCGACAUUGAGAGCGAUGUCUCUAAGCCAACGGUAAACAGGUCUAUCAAUUGGUCUUGUAUUUGGCCGUCGGUGCAAUCCUCCAAUUCCGAAAUAUGUUUUAAAUUCAGUUGCAACUGGGUUACUACAUUCCGUAGAGUCGGACUCCUCGGCUUCUUGAUUGUACUUAUCCAUUCCAAUAAAGUCGUAAUAUAACCACCUUCGAUUAUGGUACGCGCAAAUGCUCUAACAUCAAAUACUUUAGGAAUUGAUAAUGGAGCUAAUACACUUAACAAAGAAACCAUUUUAACAACAAGUGUUUUCACAGUGGAAGUUAAUCGUGGACUGGUAACUUGUCCACGGUUCAGUUUUCGGCGGCCCGUGUCCGUCGUGCUUCACAUUGCAACGCUGUGUUUCCAUCUGAAUCCAUGUAACCUCAUUAACACCGUAUUUUUGCAAGAUCGACACCUGUCCCAAUUCGUCAUUGGUCGAUCAAGUAAACUUUUGGGUCAAAUAAACGGAUUGGUUUUCGACGGUACGUCGUGCUUCACAUUGCAACGCUGUAUUUCCGUUUGAGUCCAUGUAACCUCAUUUACGUUCUGUUGUUGUAAAAUGAGCAACUGUCCCAACUUGCGACAGGUCGAUCAGGAAAACUGCGGGUCGAAUAAACGGAACAGUUUUCGGCGGUUCGUGUCCGUCGUGCUUCACAUUGCAACGCUGUAUUUCCAUCUGAGUCCACGUAACCACAUUUACGUUCUAUUUUUGCGAGAUCGACACCUGUCCCAACUUGCCAUGGGUCGAUCAAGUAAACUUCGGGUCGAAUAAACGGAUCAGUUACUGGCGGCCCGUGUCCGUCGUGCUUCACACUGUAGUGCUGUGUUUCCAUCUGAAUCCAUGUAACCUCAUUAACACCGUAUUUUUGCAAGAUCGACACCUGUCCCAACUUGCGACAGGUCGAUCAGGAAAACUGCGGGUCGAAUAAACGGAACAGUUUUCGGCGGUCCGUGUCCGUCGUGCUUCACAUUGCAACGCUGUAUUUCCAUCUGAGUCCACGUAACCACAUUUACGUUCUAUUUUUGCGAGAUCGACAUCUGUCCCAACUUGCCAUGGGUCGAUCAAGUAAACUUCGGGUCGAAUAAACGGAUCAGUUACUGGCGGCCCGUGUCCGUCGUGCUUCACACUGUAGUGCUGUGUUUCCAUCUGAAUCCAUGUAUCCUCAUUAACACCGUAUUUUUGCAAGAUCGACACCUGUCCCAACUUGCGAUAGGUCGAUCAGGAAAACUGCGGGUCGAAUAAACGGAACAGUUUUCGGCGGUCCGUCGUGCUUCACAUUGCAACGCUGUCCCUCUAUUUGAGUCCACGUACUCACAUUUACGUUCUAUUUUUGCAAGAUCGACACCAGCCCCAAGUUGCGAUAGAUCGAUCAAGAAAACAAAUGAACGGAUCAGUUUUCGGUGGCCCAUGUCCGUCCUACUUCACAUUGCAGUGUUGUGUUUCCCUCAGAAUUCAUGUAACCCCAUUUACACCGUAUUUUUUGCAAGAUCGACACCUGUCCCAACUUGUCAUGGGUCGAUCAAGUAAACUUUUGGGUCAAAUAAACGGAUCGGUUUUCGGCGGUACGUCGUGCUUCACAUUGCAACGCUGUAUUUCCGUUUGAGUCCAUGUAACCUCAUUUACGUUCUGUUGUUGUAAAAUGAGCAACUGUACCAACUUGCGACAGGUCGAUUAAGAAAACUGCGGGUCGAAUAGACGGUUCAGUUUUCGGUGGCGCAUGUCCAUCGUGCUUCACAAUGCAAUGCUGUCCCUCUAUUUGAGUCCACGUACUCACAUUUACGUUCUAUUUUUGCAAGAUCGACACCAGCCCCAAGUUGCGAUAGAUCGAUCAAAAAAACUUGGGCCAAAGGAACGGAUCAGUUUUCGGCGGCCCAUGUCCAUCCUGCUUCACAUUGCAGUAUUGUGUUUCCCUCAGAGUUCAUGUAACCCCAUUUACACCGUAUUUUUUGCAAGAUCGACACCUGUCCCAACUUGUCAUGGGUCGAUCAAGUAAACUUUGGGUCAAAUAAACGGAUCAGUCUUCGGCGGUCCGUCGUGCUUCGCAUUGCAACGCUGUAUUUCCCUCUGAGUCCACGUAACCUCAUUUACGUUCUAUUGUUGUAAAAUGAGCAACUGUCCCAACUUGCGACAGGUCGAUCAGGAAAACUGCGGGUCGAAUAAACGGGUCAAUUUCCGGUUGCGCAUGUCCAUCGUGCUUCACAAUGCAAUGCUGUCCCUUUAUUUGAGUCCACGUACUCACAUUUACGUUCUCUUUUUGCAAGAUCGACAUCAGCCCCAAGUUGCGAUAGAUCGAUCAGGAAAACUUCGGGACAAAUGAACGGAUCAGUUUUCGGCGGCCCAUGUCCGUCCUGCUUCACAUUGCAGUGUUGUGUUUCCCUCAGAAUUCACGUAACCCCAUUUACACCGUAUUUUUUGCAAGAUCGACACCUGUCCCAACUUGUCAUGGGUCGAUCAAGUAAACUUCGGGUCGAACAAACGGAUCAGCUUCCCGCCGUCUGUGUCCACAUUGCUUCACUUUGCAACGCUGUGUAUCCAUUUAAGUCCAUGUAACCUGUCCAUAUAACAUCCCGAUAGUACCAACUCGGGGAGCCUGAAUACGGGACAGUUUAUAUGAGACAGGUACCCUGAAACGCUUGGGGAGGUUACCUUUGUCUCGAACCAUAUAAGCAAACCACAUGUCUGCUGUUCACGAUUGUCCGGGUCCGCUAGCGAUCGCGAGCAAUCAGCAAGGAAAGAAUCUAAUUCCACGGGAAUUUCUUCCUCGUCAUUACGCGAAGUCUACUUGGGUUCUUGAAUUGGGCCUCGAACUCUGCUCGAGUUUGAACUGCGUCCAACGUUCCAACGUAUUGCCUCGAUCUUAUGAACGAAGCCAUCCUGCCAAACUGGUGGAAAACCCACUGGCCCUGAUAGUACAUGUCUUAGGGAGAAAGCUCCCUAGAAAUGAGUCGAAUUUCUGCGCUAGUGUGGUUCUGUAGUGUGCCCGCAGUUCGCUACGGAUCCGAUUUGGACUAAACAAUAAAAGGAGCAACCCCAACCUCUCAUUCCGGUGGAGCCCGGGGGUGUCUACGAUCUCCGAAAGUCGAUGGGUUGCGUCUUCGCUUGUCAACAAGGUUUGAGGAAUGACUACCAGAUAAUCUCGCGUGGCUGUUUACAAACCUUAUCCGGCCUUAUUAUCAGAUAGUCGUUCACCAAACUUACCGCUUGAUACAAAGCACAAUCAUUGUUUCACCGCAUACCUCUUGCGUUCCCAUGUUCCGCCAAAAUGCGGUAAGCUCUCGUAACUCAAUCAUCUGUUAUUUGAUUCUAUCUAAAUACGUCUUUACCUUCGGCAUUCUAACGGGUUCUUGGCGUCAAUUUGGAUACCGAGAAUCAAUGUCUUUUUGAAUCGUAAUAGCGCCCUAAUCAGCGCGCGAACAUCUGACGUUGAAAACGGCCUUUUCUUACCACGGUAUAUCAAAUGCAAACAAAUCGCCUGCCCUGCAUUGGCUAAGGAGCGAACAAAAAUUGUUGAAUCAUUUCGUUCGUUCGUUCGGUAUUAUAACAUGCUCGUGCAGCUCGGGCCUUUUUUUUUGUUCUUCCACAACAGCUCAACGUGUACAUAUCGUGGGCUACGGAUUACGAAUUUGUAUUUCUAACAAUGUUGUUCUUAACAUGCUACCGAAACACGUUAUAUGAAAAUGAAUAUGUUAAAACACUGUAAGCUGCUGUGCGUUGUUUGCGCGUUAUUUUUUUUGCGUUUUCGCAAGAUUUUUCAACUCGCGUAAAUGUUUUGUAUUAGGAAUGAUAUGUUUCGUUUAGUUUUUUGAUGGGAGUGGUUCUAUGGUAAUUACCUCUUUAAUGGACCGUGUAGACUUAUUUCGUGGUUACUUGUGAUAACGAAAUGAAUAGAAGCUAGCCAAAGUAAAGAUAUACUUGCAGAUUAUUAUUAAGGAUCCGAUGGGGGAUCUCUCUCUGGUGUCCGGGGUGUCUGCGUGCAGAUCCCAGAUCAAAUCGAUAACUCUGCUUUCUUUAUUAAUUCAAACUUGCCUUUUUAUACAUACUUAUUUCUUAGUCAGCAUAAUCGUCUAAAUAUCAAUACUCGAUAUCGUAAAAAUAAAACAUCGUCAAUUGCUCGUUGAAAUAUAGCAGGAGCAUUUUUAAGUGCUAACAACAUACGUGUUAAUUCGUAUUUGCCGUUAUUAAUCGUAAAAGCAGUGUUUUCGAUGGAACUCUCUUUCAUUUUUAUCUGGUGCACACUCGACUACGGUAUUGCUAUUCAAUUAUGAUUCGGGUAUAUGAAAUGCUUUUUCAUGUUCGUUUAGCACUUCAAGUAACUGUGUUUUUACAGAUCUUUCUAAAGGUCAAAGAUUCCUUCGACAUCGGUCAUCCAACAUAUUAAAUCUGCUGGCUCUCCAUCGAACCACUUCUUAUAUUAAAACACUCUUUAAUUAAAACACCUUUAUAUGAAAUUAAUUUAAACACUUUCAUAUGAAAUUUAUAUGAAAUUAUAUGAUUAUUAUUAGAAAAAAAUGUAACUUACAUAAAAUAAAAGGACCGUGUCCUGGGUCCGGCCGGCAUAAUAUGAAACCGCCAAACCGGUCUUCGUGGUUGGCUGUCCGUCAAGUUGGGAGAAAGGCACUUUCGGUGGUUCCGGUUUGCUUGGCUGGAUGCCUUUGGUGUUUGAAUCGAACAUCCAAUCACCACUAGAUGAUCUAUAUAAAUAUAAGCAUGUUCAGGUGCUAAUCCUAUGGCGUCAUUGCUAUGGUCAUCAUACGUUGAAAACUGUUCGGACUGUUAUAUUUAAUCCGAAUCAUCCGAAUGGUAAUCGAGUAAAUUGAUAAUGACCCGAGUUGAAGUUGAGUUGAAAAUGCAGUAUUUUUCUUAGAGUUUUCCGUCCAAGGGAAUUUGAUGGAAAUCAGACAUGAGGUCUGGAGUUGUGAAAUAUUUAGCUCUAUCAAGCUGAUCCAAAAUAAAAUCUAUUCUCGGUAGAGGAAACUUAUCCGAAAUAAUUUAUUUUAUUUAACUGGCGAAAAUCAACAAUUAGUCGCUUUUCUUGUUGGUUUUUGUUGAUUUCUUAGGAACCAAUUAAGGUAGUUAAUUAUUUCUAUUUAUUAUUGAGAUUUUCAAAAUUUGGCGUGUUUCGAUUAUUAUUUCUGAAAUUUCCGCCACUACCAAAUUGUGGGGCAUAUCUAAAAUUGUCAUUAUGAUAUGUCAUAUUGUUGAAAUUUCCUCGUCUCGUUCCUCGUCCUCGUCGUCUGUUAUUACAUUACAUUUUGUACUUGGUAUUUUUUCUGUCAGUGUCUCACAAGUCGAAUUAUAGUCAUGUAUUGUUCUUUCCAGGGCCCUAUCCCCAUUUUGUAAUUCCCCUACCGGGAAUCUUACCUUCAGCGUGUACGAUCCCAUUCUAAUAAGCGGGUCGUCCAAUUUUUCCAUAAUUAACCUCCCUGCUAUUUUUGGCAAGGUCAGUACAAGGAUGUUCCCUAUGAUCCUUCCGUUUACUCCGGCCAUCAUGCCAGAUAUCACUGCUCACCAAAAUUGCUCUUAGGGGAAUUUACACAGUAUUGUUUUGAUUAAUUUUGAUUGUUUUGAAUGUACGAAACUGCUGUCAUCAGAAUGUACGAAAACACUUGUUUUCUAGUACCCUCUCCGACCUGAAGGGUCCGAAAGGUGAUUAACUAAGUUCUUUAUUUUCGGCAAUUACAAUGAGUUUUGUACUAACUCUAACUUUGUUCCUAACUCUAUUCGUCCUACUCUAUUGCACGCUGAGUGCCAAGCCUAAUUCUAUUAAUUCUGGCGCGGGCGAAAACUCUCUCGCCCUUGCGCAUAUUUACAGAGGCUUAAGAAUUUGUGCGGAGCAGCGCGGAAGCCGCUCGCGUAUCCAAUUCUCCACGGCCACACGGAAGCCAACGCACCUCGCGGUCGUCGUUGCCUUCCGUGGUUACAAAACACAAACGCAAAAAUGUGCUGACAAUUAAACCACAUCGCGCCGGUAGGUUACGGUACCUAGCCGAAUCUGGGUCAUCGUGAAAAGCGAAAAAAAAGUCAUGGUUUCGAAUUUAUUGUUUUCGAUUUUUUUAAAUCUGGUAAAGAAUCUUCAAAUUCUUUACUAAUCUCCACGAAUCGCUUUCUUACACCCUGUAGAUUAUUUCCUGCGUUUGGGUUUUCCUCGUCGCUAUUGCUUAAAUUUUCGGCAAUCAAAGUCGACGAUAAAAUAGAUUCAUUAACUAAUGAACCUCCCCCUGGCGAAGAACCUGAAGCAAUAACUUCCCGAUUUCGUAAUGAAAUUAUUCGAUCGGUCAUUUAAUUUAAUGAACACAAAUCAGCUGAAUAAAUAGUCCUCAUAAAGAAAGAGAGAAAAAAAAACUAUUUAAUCCUAUUCGCCGUUUCUAUUCAAUAUCCGACGGAAAACCUUCGUCGCAAAAUUCUGCGUCUAGCAAGUUUUCAAAUUGCGCUUGAUUUAGCUCCAACUCUACUUGAAUAUGAUGCUCCUCGAGCUCGCGAGACCAGGUGUUUAGUUCGAUUUCUCCUAAUACUUUCUGGAAUGCGUAAUUUAGCUGGACUCUAGUAGCCUCGCAGCGAGUAAUAUUGCAUGCUAACACGCCAGUAUUACAAAUUGCCUCAGCUAUUUUCAAUUUAGCAAAAGAUUCUUCUUCACUAAUAAUUUGUUGGUUGCCAUUAGAUUGCUCCCAAUCAAUGGCUUUCUGAUUUAAGGAAAUUAUACAUUGACGUGCUAAUUCUUCUUGAAAAUUAAUUGCGUCCAUGUUUCCUAAUCAGUAAAGUGAAAAUUAGCGUCGAUCAGUGCUGUUAAUACCCAUUAGCACAACGUUCAAACUACUGGAUUAUCCAACUGACAUUCACGCUUGUGCAGUGAAUAUUAAAUAAAAAUAAAAAAAACCUUCUGGAUUUGAAAAUUAACUUUUUCCUGAAAAUUAACUUUUUCCAACCGGCAGUUGUUAAAUUAACCGUUGGUUACAAUCUCGAACUUCUCUUGGUUGGCCCGGUUGGAGUCUAGAAGAACCUGAUUAACGUUUAACGUUUGUUAGUUCUAUGUCCAGCGUCUUAAGCUCUCGCUUAUCCUUAUAGUAGAGCAGUAGGACGGUUUUAAUCUCUAUCCAAUCACUAACAACAUUGGUUGAGUUGAGUACAUCAGACGCUUCUCCCACAAUUUUUCGUCUGAUGGACCUUGCUAACAAUUUAAAUUGUAUGGAAUCGCGAGGCAGAUUCUUGUACAUUUCGUAAAUGCCUUCCACCUCAGUCAGCCAACUGAAUAGUUCGGUGGGUUUUCCAUCGAAAUUAUUUAAUAAUUUUACGAAAUCUGGAAGCCUUCCGACAACGACAAAAGUACGGACGGCUUCGGCUUGUAGCUCAGCGUUUGCCAUGAUGCUACCAAAAUAAAUAUCUAGCCAGCUUUUCUUAAUUUUCAGGAAGAAAAAAAAGGGAUCAAUGAAUAUGAAAUUAACUGCACACUUCUUUUUUGAGCUUUUAUAUUAACGGAUUGCACUUUUGUAAUAAAAAUUAAAAAUUCACUUUUUUGAUAAAAAUAAUAUUCACUUUUCUGUUAAAAAUAAAAAUGUAAACUUAGAGUUCACUUUUGCCAGCUAAUCUGGACUUUUUCUAUUUUUCACUUAGAGAAAGAAAAAUUACUUAAAGUAAGUAAGCCAGCAUCUUCUCGAUCUGGACUUCGUAGAUCAGUACGUGUCCUCGCUUGUUGUGGGGGAUCAGUCGUACCCUUAUUUUUUAUGGCCCCUAGCUUGGCCUUGAUGUUAUCCGAGCUCAAUUUUGAGGCGCAUUGGGCUUUUAGUUGCGCCAGUGUUUGUUCCAGGGUAUGCGCCCCUGGUAUGACUUCUGGCGGGCGGUGCCCGUCAACAAUCUGGUUCUUAUGAAUUUCAGAACGGUUUCUUUUCCGGCUUCCUUCUGUGCCUCGCUUGCGUCGGCAUAUUCUUCAUCGAGGGUGUCAUUGAACAAUGCCACCGCAUCGAGAAAAGCGUUUAAGUUAUCCGGGUUGCCGUCAUAGUGUGAACUUUUACAAUGUUCUCAAAACGAACGUAUAGUUCGCCUUUGUGGUAGAAUGUUAUCGGGACACGUAUUGUGCCCUUCUUAUUUCCGAAAGUAAAUUUUCCAGGGAUAAUUUUCCUAUCCCUUUUUAAGGCAUUGUACCAAGCUUGAAAAUAAGCAAGGUCAUCCUCAAAACUUUCCCAUUCAGUGCUCAUUAUUUUAUUUGAGAAAGCAAGAAUGUUUUUUCUUUUGUUUUUUUAUAACUCUCACUUCACUGCAAUUCACUGUGUUUUGCCCAUCACUGUUCAGUGUAUUGUCUUCAUGACACCAGUUCAAAUAAUUUUGGUAGUUUACGUCCUGUCACGGUCGCCAUCUAACAUAAUUAUAACACGGUCUGCCAUCUAACAUGAUUAUAACACUCUCUGCACUCGCGGUUAUCUUUGUGCGCAACGAGGCGGACUACUCGCGACAGAUUCCUGCCAGCAGGGCCUAAGCACUCCAAUGACAGCCCAUGGGUCCGAAAGGCCUAGGGGGUCAUUGGAAGCGGAAUGUCAUCUAUUAGCACAGCCCGUAGGUCCGGAAGGCCAAGGGGGCGCAAUAAGAACUUCCUAGCUUAACGGUGGAUAGGAAUCAAUUCUCCUCAUUUAUUCAAAGACUGUUCUAUUUAUACUCGAAUUGUGACAUCGUCACAAAUCGAUAUUUUGGAAUCGAUACUUGGUGGUUUACAAUGUUUCUUAAUGUUAAAACGAGAUAGACUACCGAGACAGCAGGUAUCGAAAAAAAAGGUUCUAUAUAUUUAAUUGUUCAAUUGCGCUUUGUACGUAAUGCUUGUAAUGUGACCCUUGCCGAACACAGUUCGAUGCCGGACCACCAGCAGCGUGGUCAGCAUAAAAUGUGCAGCCGAUCGACGGUGCUGGUGCUUGUGCAUCGCGGCGGACGGAAGAGUUUGGCUAUGUUCUUAUGACUCAUUUCUUACUGUUUGUUUACUGUUUAAAUGAUGAUCAAUUUGGAUGGCGUACGUAUAGUACAGAGCUAUUGUGUGUGAAAAUUGAGUAUUCGAUUGCUGUGUGAAAUGCUUCAUUCUUCCAAGGGGGAGAUAGUGAAGCAUUUACAGCAAAGUCGUCUGUGCAGUUUGUAAAAAGUAAGUCCAAAUAAGCAUUUUGACUAUUUUUGACUGCAUUUAUUUGAUGCAGGCCAAAUUGUGAAAUUUUGUCAAAAAUGUAAUGCAAUGUUUCAUUUUCGCCUACUACUGGAGGCAAAAUGGAUUCAUUGUCAAUGUCUACAAUGAAGUCCACAUUGCGCUCAUUGAAGUCGCCGUAAAUAUGUAGUUUUACUUCGGGUUCCAUAUUUGAAAUAAUGUUUUGAAUGUUUAUUAGCAUGUUCGGGAGGAAAGUACACGGCUGAAAAAAUGUGCACUUCGCCGUAUAUGGUUGCUUUGGCCCAUAUAUUUUCAAAUUCGAUGUGCUUUCUAGUAAUUAUUUCUUCCGAAGUAAAGUCAGAGUUUAUAGCUAUGAGGACACCUCCUCCAGAUUUUUUCUGACUUAGAGACAAAUUACGGUCGUGCCGGAAUACGUUAAAUAGAUUUUCCAAAAAUUUCUUCGCUUUUUACGCUUUCGUCCCAGCAACUUUCGGUUCUGAGAAUGACUUUGAAAGAAGAUGAUAUUACAUUUUGAUGAAUUUCCUUCAUUUUGGCUGGACUUUUCAUGCGGUUGAAAUUCUGGCAAUACACAAGAAUUUCAGCCACAUUCUGUUUUAGUGCAGAAGAAGUUUUUGGAAAAUAAUUACUACUUACAUUUACGUUUACUAGCUCCAAAGAGCGCGUCGAUAAAAUUUCUUCUUCAUUAGACUGGGCGUCGUCGUUUGGUGAUUCAAAUUCUUCCGUGUUGUGCGUCAAUUGUAGAGAAAAUUCGCGUUGUAAGAUUUACGUGACGGUACAACGCUUGUCGAAAAUUUAUUGUUACUUUCGCGCAAUUGCUGAAGGCGGUGAGUUCGUUCGCUCACUAAAAAUUGUCUGUACGACUGCAAGUCAGUUUCUGUUUCCGGCGGUAAAAGUCCAUAUUCCUGGCAGACUUCUAGAAAGAUGCGCUUUAGAUGUUCGGGAGACGUCGGGAGUCCUUCGGAUGCCAAAAGCAUUCGAAUGCUGGUUGAUGUUAGUCCUUCUAUACAGACUGACGGCUGCUGCUGUAGAUAUUAUUACUGACAUUGCGGUGUUCGCUAUUGUUCUGAGUGUAGUCGUUAUUAUUGUGAUGAUUGUGACUGCUUUUUUGGACAUAUUUGUUGCAACUUCGCUAGGAAUGCCUUCUCUAACGUAUGUUUGCUGCAAUUUUUCUGUUAAAGCUUCAACUUGUUUGAAGUCUUCGUUAGUCUUUAUUUUUAAGUUUUUCAGAUUGGCUGAGGCCAAAUCUGAAGUGCUUUUGUCUGUGCAGUGGGUUUUGAGUUUUUCGAUAAUUUCGUCGAAUUCUUGUAGUGGACCAGCAAACAGAUUUCUAGCUUUUCCACUCAAUUUUGUCAUAAUUAGUUGCAAUGCAGAUUCUUUAUUCUCUGGUGGUAUUAAAGAUUUUACUAAAUUUAAUGCAUCUAUAAAUGCAUUGAGAGUUUCGGGUUGGCCAUUGUAUGCCGGAAUUAAUCCCGAUAAUUCUGAAGCGGUUUCUAUGGAUAAUGCCAUUUUGCUUGGAAUUAUGUUUUCUUUUAAAUUAACAGUUGCGUCUUUUUGGAUGUUAGAAUCACUUUUUGCUCUUAGUAAUGAGUCUUCGUGAUUUGGAUUUACUUGUAAAAAUCUAGGUUUUGAAUAACUUGUUCCCGGAUCACUAUCGUAAUCUUUCUGGGUAAUUUUUGUGUUAUUUAGAAUUUUAAUACACUUUUCGUAUAUUGUUUUUAAAUUGACAUAAUUGUCUACUAUCUUAUUCCAAUUAUCAGUUGAUAAUCUGAAUUUAACUGUUUUUAGUAUAGUUCUGUAUUCUAAAAAAUAUUCCUCUAGUAAUGUUCUUUUUGUUUCAAUUCCGUGUAAAGUUCUUGAUCGAGUCUUACUUUUUUCUAAAUUGAAAUAUUCUCUUUUGAUCAAAUUUUCGAUGAUUUUCAAUCUAUCCAUCAAUACGGAAUGAACAUUCUAGUAUAUAUUGUAUAUGUAUGUUGCUAUAUUGUAUACGAUGAUCGUUUUCCAGCUAUUGUAUAAGAACGUUGUUUUACAAUGUUCAUUUCACUCGUGGGGCGGACUUAUCGCGGCUGUUGCACACGCGGGGCGGACUUAUCGCGACUGUCGUAAACGCGUCAGAUUCCUGCCAGCAGGGCCGAAGCUCUCUAAUGACAGCCCAUGGGUCCGAAAGGCCUAGGGGGUCACUAGAAGCGGAAUGUCAUCUAUUAGCGCAGCCCUUAGGUCCGGAUGGCCAAGGGGGCGCAAUAAAAACUUCCAAGCUUAAAGAUGGAUAGGAAUCAAUUCCAUUCGUUUAUUCAAAAACUGUCCUAUUUAUACUCGAAUUGUGGCGAUGGUGACAUCGUCACAAAUCGAUAUUUUGGAAUCGAUACUUGUUGUUUUAUAAUGUUUCCUAAUGUUAAAACAAGAUAGACUACCGAGACAGCGGGUGUCGAAAAAAGGUUCUAUAUAUUUAAUUGUUCAAUUGCACUAUGUACGUAAUGCUUGUAAUGUGACCUUUUAUCAAUGGUAACAGUUGAUAGAGCAAUUUGUCUCCUAAUUUCGUAGUUUGUGAAGACGUAAUGGCCGGAUGUGGUGAAAAAUGCAGUAUACUACCUAGACUCUGUAUCUAAUGGAAUUUGAUGGAACCCAGCCUUCAAAUCCAGGGUGCUAAAAUACUUAUCACACGUCCUAAUUGGUCCAGGAUCGCAUCUAUUCUUGGAAGUGGAAAUCUGUCAGCAAUUUUUUUAUUUAGCUACCUGUAUUUAAGCAAAUUCUAACAUUUGACUUCCACUUUGAUUCAAUUGAUGCUCUUGUGCAACAAUUAUUUUAUUUUUCUUCAUUAUUCUCAUUUUUAAAGCGCUAUAAUUCGUACUCUUUGUUUGGAAGUAUUCCUUUAUCAGUCCCUUUAUGUCCCAAAAAAGUAAAGUAAUAUAAUCUCUUGUUUAUAAAAAUUGUUGGUUUCUAUCUUGUCAUUAGGUAAGCACAAUAUAUCUUCAAAAUCUGUUAAGAGCUUGUAAAAUUUAUUUUUGAUGUAAUCUGGAAAAUUUGUGGUUCCUAUUUCCGUCAAAUUGUGUUGUUGUCUAACAGUUGGGUUUGAAUUUUGUCGUAUAUUAAGUGUUGUGUAGUUUGAUAAUGGUUCUAUGACUGGGUUGAAAUUAGAGAUAAAUACUGGUCUUUCUGUUGUGUUUAUGAACUUAACAAAAGGUGAGUUGGCUGAUAUAAUUGAAUUUCCGCAAAAUAUACCUGGUAAAAUUUCUUUUGAAUGUAUGACCAUGUCCUCGUUUAUUCUGAGGUUUGGUACUCUUUUAAUUAUUUCACAUCUACUGGGAAGCAUAAAUCCAUUGUUCAGGUUGUCCUCUAUUGGAACUGAAAUUAAUUGUCCUUGGAGGCAAAAAUUUAAUAACCAUGAUUCAUAAUCGAUCACGCAUUUGUACCUUCUCAAGAAAUCUCUCCCUAAAAUGCCGUCUGUGACUAAAAUUGAAAUAUCGGCUCCACAGUCGAUAAUUAGACUGCAUUGCCUGUUGGUUAUUUGAAUACCAACUAAAAUAAAAUUUGAAGCAUUUAAGUUAAUGUUCAGCAGUGGGUAUUUUACUGCUGGGUUACUCCUAAAAAAUUUGGUUGUUGAAACAUAUUAGGAUUUGUAUAUGCCAUUGGUUGUACUUGAGUAAUUUGUUAUGCUUGAGCUUGUGGUUGAUUCUGUCCCAUUGUCUGUGACUACUCGCUGGCUUGCAUCACUGUUCCUUCAUUAGCGAGGAAAAUUUGAUCCCUUUGGCCAGGGAAUCUAGGGUUUCCCCUAAAUUGUCUGUUACCUCGUUGGCUAUAAUUUCUAUAAUUAUUGGUGUAAUUAUUAUUAUAGUUAUUGUUAUAAUUUCUUGGUUGAUAAUUGUUUCGAUUAUCAGAAAAUCUUGGGCGAUUAUAAUUAAAUCUGCCUCUCUAAUUGAAGCGAUUAUUACUAAAGUUUCUAGAAUUAUUAUUGUUAUUGUAGUUAUUCCUAUAAUUAUUUCUAUUAAAAUUGUUAUUAUUGUUAACAGAUGAUCUAAAAAUAGAUGCAUUUGUUGAGUCAUUAUUAUUUUCAUUCAUGCUUCGGAGAGGUUGUCGAAUUUUCCGACUUUAAGCAUCAUCUUAGUAUCUUCUUUUCUUGAAGCUUUAAUGAGAGCUUGAACUCCUGCUUUCUUAGACAUGGUUUUGGCUGUUUGGUCUGGAGUUUCGUCGCGAAUAUAUGCUUGCGUUAAUUUGCUGCAUAGUUCGUCGAUAUCUUUUGUUGUUUCAUUAAGGUCAUUUUUAUUCUUUAAGUUCUUUAGUUUAGAUAAAGUCAAAUCUGUGCUGGUUUUAUCGACACAGUUUUGCUUUAUUUUGUUUGUAAUAAUCUCGAAAUUUUCAGGCGUCUCAGAGAAUAAUUCUCUGGCUUUUCCUGUUAAUUUGGAUAGAAUUAGUUGAAUUGCAGCGUUGUGCUGCUUUGCUGGCACAAUCUGCUGUAUUAAACUUACUGCAUCAACGAAUGAUUUUUGCCCUGUUGGUUCUCCACCAUAGGUUGGUAUCAACAAAGAUAACUUUGCUGCUGUUUUUAUAUCUAGCGCGAUGUUAUUUUUGAAAAGUCUCCUUAAUAAUAUAAUAAUUUUUACCAAUAGCUUAAAUGAUAUUGGUUUAAUAAUAUUUUUACUACUUAAUUUUAGAUCAACUCUCGUUCUGAUUGAGUCGUUAGUUGAUUUUGCUGUAUGCAUGUAAAAGUUAAAUUGGGAAUUGGUAAGUUCGCUUUGAUUCUCUAAUAAUGUGUCGUUAAUUGUUUUGUAAAUAAAGUCUGAUUCCUUUCUUUUUGUUAGUAAUGUUCCAUAUUUCGUACACCUAUUCAACGAUUUACAAAUAGAGACUAAAAGUUCAAUUUUAAAAUCCAAUUCUUUCAUAAUACAUUAUAAAGUGAGACCCUUAAUAUUCAUAUUCAUAAUAUACAAUUUGUUUAUAAUCAUAGGUUCUUAACUUAUCUCUCUUGAGUGCUUCUGCUGGUGGCCUCUGUUAGCACGUUCGAUAGUGACACCGCUCGCUGGAUGUCCGUAAGCGCUCGUAUCGGAUGAUUCCUCGGUAAAUGUAAUAUGCUGCUCCAAGAGCUACUGCUCCCACGGCCAGAUAUGCCAAUAUCUGCGUCGCACUUGCCGUCUUAUCUAAGUGUGCUGUUUGUUGGACGUUUGCGUUGAUGAUCCUAAUUACGUCUUCGUGUACUGCUGGUUUUUCUUUUGUCUCCUGGUUUCCCAUUGCGAAAUUUUUUUUUGUCUUUUUCACUGUUUACCUCUUCCGUGGGCGAGGUAGUUGCCCUUCUUCUCUUUCCAUUAAAACAUUAAAAGUCUUCGUCACUAUUUGUUCAUACCACCGUGUUCGUUAGGAUGUUUUUUUUUGAACAAUUAACUUUUCAGAGAGUUAAUUUUUCCGAGAGUCAACUGUAUUUAACUUGUGGUCUCUCUGUAAGCUAUCAGCAGGCGAUUUUUUUUUCUGAAAUCGCGUUCACUUCACUUGGUCCAUUCCAACUGUCUGUUUUAUUUUUUCCUUUAGCACUUGACGCUUCUUGAGUACUUGAGCGCCAUGACGUAGAUUAUUUCUAGUUAAGUAGUGGUAACUACACAUUUGUUAAGGAAAACAAAGGUUACUAUAAUUUUCAUAAUUUUGUCGAAAAAUAACUGCUUUAAUAUACGAACGCUACUACUCUUCCUUCUACAUUCAAUUCUAACGCCUCCUCGUGCGUCAAUAUUCCUUUAGAUGUUGUUAUAAAUAAUAUGGCUGUAAUGGAUUUUGAUACUGCGCGCAUCAAUUGCACUAUAUCUUUAGCUCUUACAUUAAAAUUGUCCACAGUUUCGAUAUACUGUAGAACUUUAUUUUUGAUCGCAUAAUGACUACCUCUUUUACUCAAUAUUGCAAUCAUCUGUCGGUUUUCUAAGAUUUCCAGAACACUCUUUUCCACUGAAUUUCUAACCUGCAAUGUUAUCGCUGGACUCUCUACCUUUUGACCAAUUAUCCGACGCAAAUCGUCAGCCAAUAAAUUAGCCAUAAUUAAUUGAAUAAUUUAGAUUCUGUUGUUAAAAAAAAGUCGUUUAACUAUAAAUUAUAGGUAAUACUCUGGAUUGGUUAGAGUACUCUUGAUAUCAGCACUGAUGUUCAAUCUUCGUUUGAACAUGAUGAAUAUGAUAUCAUAAAUGAGUUUAAUUGAUAGUAAAAAGUUAUUUUAAGCUGUAUGUAUCGUGCCACUGUCAAUAGGUCGCCAUAUCGUAGAUCCGACAACCACGAUCUACCUUUACACUUGGCCGCUCUAAUGGUGGCGUUACACCAAAUCAAAAGGAUUUAAUAUCGUACGGACAACUUAGCAGGCUGAUUAGAAGAACAGUGGAAUGGAUUUCUUUUCUGGUGUCCGAGGGGGGUGUCUGCGUACAGAUCCCAGAUCAAAGUAAGAACUGUCCACUGCGGACUGUUCAAAGUUACUGCUCGCUUUAAUAGUUCAAACUUGCCCUUUUAUACAUGAUUAUUGCUUACUUGCACAAAUCGAUCAAGCGUCGAUUUGUGUGCGCGCCUUCGGACUCUGUUUACUAACAGCGCGUGAAUCGUUCCGUUUUGUUUUUGUUUUACUUAAGGCAAUCGUACGCUAUCGUAUGCUAUCGUAUGCUAUCGUACGCUAUCGUACGCUUUCGUACGGAACUAUUUGCUCUACCUAGUUGGUCUAAAAUAUCGUCUAUGCGUGGCAAGGGAAACUUGUCCGCCAAAAACUUUUUGUUUAGUUGUCUAAAAUCUACAACUAGACGCCAUUUUUUUGUUUUAUCCGUUGAUUUCUUAAGUACGAGUAGGAUCGGAGAAUUAUAUCGAGGAUUUUGUUUUAACUUACAAGAUUCGGGAUCGCUAUCAUAAUCCCUUUGUGAAACCGUAGUGUUGUCUAAUUUUUUAAAUACAUUUUUCGUAUGCUGUUCUUAAGACAGCAUACCUUUUAACUGUCUCAUUCCAAGUAGCAGUUUUUAAUCGGAAUUCAAAAGAUUUUAAUAAACGUCUAUAUUCUGAGAAAUAUUCCUGUAAAUGGGAUAGAACUCCUAUAGUAAAAUUUAAAAUAUCUUCUCUGCAAUAUCCAUGCCCGAUGGGCCGUCUAUACCGAAACUGCUUACGCUGGCUGAGCAACACACGGCUGCCCAACCACAUGUACCAAAUGGGUUCUAGACCCCUUGACCAUUCCAGCCACCGUCGGCUUCUUUUCCUUCUUUCCCAUGGUGUUGUACAAGCACAUCUGACAAUCACCAUCCAAAUGCAGCUGCCGCUCUCUGUCAACCAUGUCCCAAAAAUCACUGUCAGCCAAAGCCCCACGCACACUAUUCCGUGGGAUCUCCUUGCUGCACGAACCAACCGCAGCAUGGCUCUGCACAUUUUUAGCAUAGUCAAAGGACCCCAAGAUCGGGGGCCUCAGCCCUCUCCUCUUGAACAUCUUAACAAAAAAUGUUUUGAUGUUUACAAACAGUGCCAGCUAUUGUAUUGAUCGUAAUUCUGCGUCUCGCCUGUGUGUUGCCAGCGGCGCGUGCCUGUCAAGUGGAAUUUGAUGAAAUCCGGACAUCAAAUCUAAAGUUGUAAAAAAUUUCACUCUAGCUAGUUGAACUAAAAUAUCAUCUAUGCGUGGCAAGGGAAACUUGUCCGCUAAAAUCUUUUUGUUUAGUUGUCUAAAAUUUACAACUAGACGCAAUUUUUUUGUUUAAUCCGUUGAUUUCUAACCAUAAUUCUGGUGGAGUAUCUUAAAAAUUUCUAUAUUAUCAUUUUUUCUAUAGAUCUUCUAGUGUUAAUUACCUAAAUUUUUGUAUUAUUUCUGAUUCACAUAUAUUUUUUGUAUGGUAGAUGGGCCUUGUCUUCCACAUCUACACUGCACUUAACCGCUCUUGUGGUGGCGUUACACCAAUCGUAGGGAUACGGUUUACGAGCAGACGACUUAAGCAGGCUGACUAAGAAUCAGCAGUAUGGAUUUCUUUUUGGUGUCCGGGGUGUCUGCGCACAGAUUCCAGAUCAAAAUAAGUGUCCACUGCGAUGGUUCUAUGCUACUGCUCGAGUUUAUUGACGAAAUCGUUCUAUUUUAUAUAUAAUUAUUGCUUAUUCGGCAUUAAUCGUUUGCCUAUCGUUUACGCCCAAAAUGUUUAAUGUUUACAAACAUUGGCAGCCAUAAUAUCGGCAUUGUUUUGAACUGCGCCUCGCCUGUGUGAUGCCAGCGGCACGUGCCUGUUCGGAGCUGGAGCAUAUGCGCACGGGCAGCGAUGAGUCACAUCGUCAUCGCUGCGAAUAGUCACGGUCGCCAUAAGAUAGUUUUGAGAUUGCUUUGGUUUUUUUCGCUGAUCGGUGUCCGGGAGGGAUCGAUGUGAGUGUUUUCUGGUUCAUUUGUUUUUGUGUAACUUGAAAUUUGUUUGUAAGUUAUGAUAGCGUCCGUAGCGCACUACCAACUGUUUGAUUACUAAGUGGACGAUUUCCUCGUUCACUGACCUGCCGCGGUCGCCAUGUGACGAUUACAUUUGUUCUCACUUUAAUUGUUUGAUAGUUCACUGCAAACGGGUUGUAAUAAAUGAUUUUUGAUUGCUGGUAAAGCCAGCCAGUGCAGUACGUCUCUAGUCUAGCCUAUUGUCGUCCAACAAUUUGGGCAUUCUUUUCAUGAAGUAUAGAACAAGUUCACAGAGCAAUCACUGCAUUUUCUAUUGAAGCGACUUUGGUUGUUUAGUGAUACAAACAAGACGAUAAGUAAAUUGUGCGAAUUCAAAAACUGUUUUGUCACGGAUUUGUGUUGAAUCCGGUUCGAAGCUGAAUAUAAUUCACUUAGCUUUAAACCGGGUUUACUACAACAAAUUCGCUGUGAGCGAAUCAUAUCUCGUUCCCCGUUGAGAUUAGCAUCUUUCUUUUAAAGAUGCUUCUUGGCUGGAUGAAAAUAGCAGUGUGUUUUCUUUCAUAUUGGUUAUAUGUUGUUCUGUACCACAGCGUAAAUCGCGCGUGUUUACGAUGCAGAUCCCACGUACAUUUCGACAAAUUGCCAUAGCUGACCUAAAACAAUACCAAAUCAGUCCAUCAUCAAUAGAAAACUUGAUUGUAAAUACACUCGAAACGUAACAAUUGACCCAUUCUAGGCUUUUUGGUCCAAUUCUAACAGUUUGUUUCAAACUGCGAUAAAAUUAUGCAUUUUGCGUGGUUUUAUCAACGUUUGUCUCGAGCUCGUUUGUCUUUGGCAUAUAAGGCACUUAGGUAUAUAAGGGAUGGAUGGUAUGUAAAUAAUGGUUUUCCCAUCCAAUAAAAUAGUAGGGUACAUUAAUGACUAGUAAUAGCUAACAGAUGAAUCUUUUUCGGUUUAAUUUCACUGCCGGUGCGACUUGCAGGCUAGAUCAAUGCUAAUUAAAAAGCCAAUAUCAUCCCUGUUGACACAGUUAUGUAGGGGAUGACUGCUAAAUUAUAAGAAGAUUACUGCUUAAUAUUAGGUAACACAAGUUUUGGCAAUUAUUAAUUUGAUUGCGUUUAUAAAACUUUAUUGGCACUCAGCGAAAAAAAAAUGUAAAAAAUUAACCGAUGAGUGGAAAUUAUUUUCUAACUAAUCGGAAAGCUUAUAAGGCGAUGUUUUAAAUUAAAUCCUACAACGAUUACACUGUGGUGUAAUGCGUUGUAUAUUGGUUGUAUAUUGUAAUUCAAUGCAAAAGAUUAGACAACCUAAGUGUAGAUAGUUCAUGAAUUGUAAAUAUGACUUUGUUAAUCAAAGUUUUACCAUCGGCGAAUAUAUAUUGUAAUAAUAUAAGAAAACGAACGUGCAUUUCACAGGCACGACUUUAAGGCGCACCCAUCAGCGAUAAAAAAAGAUAGGAAGUAAGAAUGUAGUGGGUUUAAAUUCACUACCUCAUAAAUUGUACAUUUUAAAGCAAACUGACUGUAAAAACUUUGCAUUUUGACCAAAAUUGUCCAGGAUAACUUUACCACUAAAUCCCAUAAGUCCCAUAGCGCUCACACCGCUUUAUAGGGAGGGGUUGGGUGGUAAAUAGUACUUAAGAUUAGGUAACAGGAGUAAAUUAUAAAAAAAAAAUUGUAAAUAAAUUUGCAUCUCGACUACGACUUGCAAACUUCAAUUGAUUCAUUGUAGAGCGAAAAUCCCAAAAAUCCCAUAGCGAUUAUAGCUAUAUAAUCGCUGCUAUAUAGGGAAUGGGUUGUAAAUAGUAGACAAGUAAGUUAAUAAUAACAAUAGUUUAAUGAUAGGGUAAAGCUAAUGAUGUUUUGUUAGGGGCCUCAACAAAGGAACUUGUAACAAAAAAAUCAAAUUUGCUCUUCGAAUAUUUUUCUACAAAAUAGAAACAGAAAAUUCACCAACAGAACACACUACCGAAUUUGUUUUACCAACACCCCUGACAAUUUGUACAAUUCAUCAUGAAAAAUCUAGUAAUCCAGUCGCUAUAAAGUAGAAUUAAAACAACGUCGUGAAACACUGACG